Molecule: ribosomal RNA, 576 nt
Filed under: Streptomyces bingchenggensis
Lineage: Bacteria; Bacillati; Actinomycetota; Actinomycetes; Kitasatosporales; Streptomycetaceae
Description: bacterial SSU rRNA
Rfam family: Bacterial small subunit ribosomal RNA
Source: RNAcentral
GACGGGUAGCCGGCCUGAGAGGGCGACCGGCCACACUGGGACUGAGACACGGCCCAGACUCCUACGGGAGGCAGCAGUGGGGAAUAUUCGCACAAUGGGCGAAAGCCUGAUGCAGCGACGCCGCGUGAGGGAUGACGGCCUUCGGGUUGUAAACCUCUUUCAGCAGGGAAGAAGCGAAAGUGACGGUACCUGCAGAAGAAGCGCCGGCUAACUACGUGCCAGCAGCCGCGGUAAUACGUAGGGCGCAAGCGUUGUCCGGAAUUAUUGGGCGUAAAGAGCUCGUAGGCGGCCUGUCACGUCGGAUGUGAAAGCCCGGGGCUUAACCCCGGGUCUGCAUUCGAUACGGGCAGGCUAGAGUUCGGUAGGGGAGAUCGGAAUUCCUGGUGUAGCGGUGAAAUGCGCAGAUAUCAGGAGGAACACCGGUGGCGAAGGCGGAUCUCUGGGCCGAUACUGACGCUGAGGAGCGAAAGCGUGGGGAGCGAACAGGAUUAGAUACCCUGGUAGUCCACGCCGUAAACGUUGGGAACUAGGUGUGGGCGACAUUCCACGUCGUCCGUGCCGCAGCUAACGCAUUAA